This is a long non-coding RNA of Manis pentadactyla (Chinese pangolin), 9235 nucleotides long. RefSeq lists it as uncharacterized. The record is from RefSeq and is a predicted model, not a curated record. Lineage: Eukaryota; Metazoa; Chordata; Mammalia; Pholidota; Manidae. The transcript has 2 exons.
AUAUAUAUAUAUAUAUAUAUAUAUGCCUUUCUAAGCCUGCCAGUAUAUUUGGCUUUGAACUGUGCUAUUCCAACAGUCAUUACUUUAACCCCAGCCCACAACGAUCCUUUAAAAAGGUUUAUGUUCAUAGUGAAUGGAAUGUUGACUUUGAAUUUAUGCAUUUGUAUUAAUGUCACAUACCAAUGGGAACAGUAAUUUACACAUAAACUUGCUAAAUAUGGAGAGACUAAAUUAAGUUAAUAAAUUAUAUGUAGCAAUGUAGCUAUUCUCUCUAGCUGGUGUCUCACAAUGGAUUUCUAUUGCUUGACAUAUUUUCUUAGUGAAAUUUGAACUAAGGCAGUGACUGGGAUUGGUCAUCUGGCUAAGUAUUUUGAAACACAUUUUGAAUAAUAUGGCUUGGUGUUAAUGGGGAAAUAAAAUCUGAUUUAUUUCUUACUCAUUCCAUCUUCCCUGUGCUGUGUGUUUGGAAUUGAUCAUAAAAUAAUCCCCAAAAGGAACAUCAGUUUGCAGCCUUACUUUGUAUUCAUUUUGACAUCCCAUUCAUACUCUGCACUGUGAAAUUGAUUCAGUGUACUAGAUAAGACCUAAAGGAAACAGUUAGCUUUUCUUUAAUGCUCUUUACAGAAUUUUAAAAAUAUACAUGUAUGUGCCUAAGUGGUAUUAAAAAAAUUAAUGAGCCUGACAAACCACUGAUUUACAGAGUGAAUGUUCUAAGAAAGAGGGAAAUAGAAAGCUCACAGUUCUGUGCAACAAGAAGUUAGGCUCCACUUUUUGGUUGGAUUAUCCAGUGUCGAUCCAAAAGUUAAAAUUUCCUUUCCAUAAAAUAAUUUUGAUCAUAUAGUCAACUCCUUUUCUCCCAUCAUAUCUGGGAAAGUAGCAAACUUUUAAUAAUUGUAUUCCUGUAAGUAUCAUAAGUAUCAUAGUUCUUUUCUGUGUGUAGAGUUUCUUUUCUCUGACUUUAGAUGUUAAAUUUGCAUUUCUGGGACAGUUCUUCAGUUAAAUUCUUAAGGCAUUUAACACUUUUGAACAUCAUAAUAAAAUUAAAAAUCUGUGAUUACAUUGUUGUUAUCAAGGACUCAUUAUGAUUUUAAACACAUUUACUGACUGAUGUCAAAUUCAUUUGUAAUAGAACCUAAUUAUUUUUUCCCUGGGUUUGUCUAUAUGAUGACAUCUUUUGCUUGAAGGCUUCCUAUAAUUUUAUUUGCACAGUUAAAUUCUACCCUUUGUAUGCUUUAUUUUUGAAUAGUUCUUGAAUGUGCUAAAGGUUUCUUGGUGUAGUUCUUCCAUGCUAUGCAAAAUGUUUCAGUAAAAGUAAUUUUCAUUUCUUGAAUGCAGCUAAUUGUUAAAUAAGCAGGUAUUACAGGUGUGUGUUGGCACAGCAAGUUUAGCAGUCUAUUGAGAUGGUCCAAAUGUAUUUUCUGGAAAAAUAUGCAUUGUUAGUAUACACUGUAAACCAGAAAACUACCAAAUGAAUCAAUCCACUUGAGAGUGGGAUUGCUCAUCCUAAAAGAUGUAAUUAGGAGCCUUACUCUUAACAUUUGGGGCUGCAUGGAUAUUUUAUGUGGACUGGGAAUCUAAUUAUAGCACUUCAGUUAUUUGAUUUUUCUGUUAAAUUUCUUUUUAUAGUACAAAGCUUCAUAUCAAGUGUGAUAACCUAAUAACUUAAGCAAAGAGAAAACUAAAUUUUCAUAAUAACCUAAAUUUCCAAAAGAUAAAUAUAAUUGAUAUCCUGAACUUAACAUCCAUGAAGAUUAGAAUGUCAAUGAUCUGAUACUGAUUCUAGGAUUAAUUAUAGCAUCAAAAUUCAAAAUUAAUAAGAUAUUCAUUUUUAAAUGAAAUUUUAUCCUGAUCUGCAUUCCUGCAAUAAAUAUUGGUAAAAGCAGUUUAUAAUUCCAUAAGUAAUAUAUUUACCACUUUAUUUUGGGUGGACCUCAUGAGAGGCAUUUGUGUCUUUUAUAACAAUUAGAAAUCUAUACUUAAACAUUGUAGUUUGUUACAGAUUAUAGGAAUCUCUCUUUUUAUGAUAAUGCCAAAGGAACCUUUCAUACAAAAUGGUGUUUAAGUAAAAGAACUUUCAAAGUCUCUAAGUACUUGCUCAUUUCAGUAUUGCUGGUUUUCCUUAGUAUCAGUGUCUAGACAAAAAUGUUAGUUUAUUUUUUUAAAAAGGCUUUAUACCUUGUUCUAGAAGUAAAAGGUUAAAUCAAGGAAUGAUAUGUCCUCCUAUGUUUCCCCCUACCUCCCUCAGAGAUAGACUGAGGGGAGUCAGAGGAACAAGGAAACCCCAGAGGUGAGGAAAUGACAGGAAUGGUCAUCACUGCGCCAGCCAGUGAGAUACCCCUUUACCCACUGCCAGUGAUUGAAUAGAAUCCUUUUGAUUUUUGAGGGUGAAUCCCUACUUAACUGUGCUAAAAAUGUCUCAUGUUUUUAAAACCAGGUGUGUAUUUAUAGCAAGAAAUUACUCUUGCCUUGAUUUGGGUAAUAUUUAAACCACUUUUAAGAUACUUGAUGCUUGUGGUUUUUUAAAUAUCAUUGUAUAAAACAAAUGCAGAUCUUGGAUUCUUGUUGUUGAGAUACCAUGCUUGUGAUUUUAGUAGUUUCUGAUAUCUGCUAUAGUCAGUUACCACAACCUUAGUGGCUAAAAACAACACAAAUUUAUUCUCCUAAUAGUUCUUGCGGUCAGAAACUCAAAAGCAGUUUUCCUAGAAUAAAGUAGGUUAUUGGUUCUUCCUAGAAACUCCAGGGGAGAAUCUGUUCUUGGCUUUUGCUGCUGGUGGCUGCUGACAUCCUUUGGCUUGUGGCUGCGUCAUUCCAGUCUCUACUUCAGUCAUCACAUUGCCUGUCUCCUGUAGUGAUACCUCUCUCUGCCUCCUUCUUAUAAGGUCACUUGUGAUUACAUCACAGGGCUCCCUUAAGUAAUCCAGGAUAAUGUUCCCAUCUCAGGAUCUUCAAUUACAUUGGCCAAGCCCUUAUGCCAUGUAAAGGAACAAUAUUUACAAGUUCUGGAGAUUGGGAAGUGAACAGUCUAGCGUUUAUUCAGCCUACCACAGCAGUCCUCUCAAAUUCACAUUGUUUAUCUCAAAAACUUCUUCAUGCUGUGGACUUAACAUUUACUCUGAUAGUGAUAACUUUUAUUUCCUGCAUGUUACCUACUUCUUUAUGCCUCCCAAUCACAUAUCCUUCAUUUAAAUCUCUGAAAAAGUUGAAAUUGAGAUCAUUUUCUGCAAAUUAUCAUUUACUGCAUACCCCUUGUAUCAAUCCUAGAGCUAAGUUCUUGACAUGAUCUUUUUUUUUUAAGGUAUCACUGAUAUACACUCUUCUGAAGGUUCCACAUGAGAAACACUGUGUUAUUACAUUCACCAAUACUAUCAAGUCCCCCCACUGCCCAUCAGCGUAGUAAGAUGCCACAAAGUCUUGACAUGAUCUUUUAGUUGAUACAUAAUACUGAUCAUUUUGUCGUUCGGAGACCAUGCUUACCAGUCUGGGAAAGAGUAGGAGAGAUGAAAGAGAAUAUGGAAGAAUGUUCUCCCAACCUCUUUAUACAUCGGGAAACAAAGGGAAGGUGUGAAACUACAGAUUCUGGGCCUCCCAACUUUAGAAACUGAUGUAAUUGAUUGGGAGUGGGAGGACCUGAAUCUGGGUUUUAAAAGCUUCAUGAGUGACUCUGAAUGUUGAUGUCAGUUUUGGAAACCCUCAGGAAAUUUAGGAAAUGAGGUAAAAGUUACACUUCUUUCAAACUAGUAAAUAGUAAUUGUAGCCAUUAUUUUCUAUGGGGAAGACAAAUAUGGCAAAAAUACUCACAUUUAUGGUAAAUUCCCAGGGGAAGGAGUAAGUUUGGGGCAUACCAUCAACUCACGGUUGCAGAGGAUGAUGAAGGCUCCUUAGCUGAUCCUCUGCCUCUUACCAGCUUUCUUGGCAGUUACCUUGUUUUUUAAAUGUAAGAGUCUAUUUGAGAUGUUGAAUCUCACAAUUUAAUGACAUUUAAAAGCUUGUUUUAUAAUGAGACAUACUGUUUGUGAGAGCCUUUAACUGGAAUUGAGGACACUUUUGUAUUUUUGGUUUGAUUUGAUUGAGGGAAAUCAGGUAAAUUCUAAUAAGUCUGUGAUGUUUUGGUUGCUUACAAAGUGAGAAUGCUGCUGCUGCUAUUGCAGAAUUUCCAAGUGCAUCUUUGGUGGAUAUGGUUGGAUAUAGAGGAGGUUGCUUUUUAGCUUUUCUGAGGACGUGAGUAUGCUCCAAACCAGCUUGUCUGGCAUUCUUAGGGCACUUAGGAGGGAAAGUAAUUUUUUGCCAUCAGGUUUCUGCAGUUUUGGUUAGCAUAUUCUAGACUGAGGAGCAUAUUUAUGUGUUUGAAGGCAAUACAGAUACUGAAUCCAGCCUUCAUAUCACCAGUCUUGAAUCACUUGGGUUUGCUUUAUUUUGGGAACUGAAUCUAAAACAGGAGAUGGCAGCCUCUUAGCAUAACUAAAAGGGCCCUGAGUUGAGCCUCCCUCUUGUCCUUUUGUUUUAUAGAUUUAAGAACAAAACAAAAACCCCAUCAGGAAACCAAGGCCACAGAAAUUGAAUGACUGUUCAGAAUUCCCACAGAUAGUGCAGAGCUGGGGGCUCAAAUCUUUGAACGUUAUGGAAGUUAAUGUAAAAGAGAUGAGAAGAAGAGAAAAGUUCAUCUGAUGGGGGCUAGGAAGCCAGCAGCCCAGCUCCUAUGAUUACUCAGUAGUACCAGUACUGCAUAAGAUGCACCAUCAGGUAAUCUCCAUUCUUAAAACAGCCAAGUUAAGUUGCAUUUUAGAUGGGAUUCUCUAGUUGGGCCCUAAAGUGCUUUUUGGAGACUGAAUCUAAAACAAGUUGACAGCCUCUUAGCAUAACUAAAAGGGCCCUGUUGUGCUAGUAUUUAACAAAUCCCAAGGAAAUUAACAAUUGCAGUCAUUUUCUAAGUCUCAGAGUAGGUUUGAUUUUGAGAGUUGUGUGAAAUCUUUUCAUCCAAUAAAGUAUGUGGUAUAUCAGUGGGGAUGUUUGGGGGUUUCCAAAACCCCCAAUUUAUUUCCAGGGCAUAUUUUAAUCACUGUUGUGAUUUUGGCUGAUUAUAAGCAGCCCCUUCUCCUGCUUACAAUUCUAAAUUAAAAACAGGCAGUCAUCAAUUGGCUAAAAUCCGAUUUGCCUUUAGCUUUCACUACUAGCUAAUUUACAAGUAUGCCAAAAGCUUCACAAUGUACCCAUUCUUCCUCAGGACUUCCUGUACAACUGAGACAGGGACCAUGGGUGUAGUCAGAGUAGGGUGAGGGCCUGGGGUGGGGGGUGGGGCAGAAUAUUUACAGUCAGAGCAGUGUAACAAUGGGCGAAGAAGUCCCCAUUGAAACUCUGUUAAGCAUUAUGCAAAGUCAAGGUCACACUAAUUCUCUAGGGGAAGAUACCUAAGAAUAUAGGGAUAUUCAGUGAGAUCAGUUAAAGGUCAAAAGGCCAGGAGCAACUUGGCCUGGAAUGUUUGAGUGUUCUGCAAGGGUAUCAGCAUAACCUGUGACCCCGCUGUCACCCCUAGCAAUCAGGCUAUGACCCAGCCCACCUUGACAGGGCAGGUGAUGCAAGUCCACACCCCUAAGUUUUUUUUGUUCUGGAAAAAUCCUCAACUGCCUAUAAAACCCCCUAGACAACGCACCACUAUGGACUCUCUUGUGCCCUCCUGGCAUGAGCCAGGAGCUCUAUUCUCCCACUUUAUCUCUAAAUAAAAGCCUGUACCUUGCUCUCCUACCUUGACUGUUUGUGAAGCUCGUUCUUUGGCUUCGUGAACAAGAACCUCGGCAUCACAACCAAACGCUAACCUGAUAGAUUUCUCAAAUUGUACCUAAAUGCUCUUCAUUGAGUCAGAAUUGUACAUUGCAGUCAUUGCUUAGCCCUAGCUGCCUCUGUUUACGUAUAAGGUGGUUUUAUAUAAAACAUGAAAUUUCAAAUCACCUUGCAAAAAUUCAGUCAAUGAUAAUGUAGAUCCAGUUGAGUGAAUAAAUCGAGAAAUUUUAAGCUAUUAAUGCAGGUGACAUUAUAUUUCAUGAAUGGUUUCUCUCAAACCUUUCUCCUGAUAAGCAUACAUUUGCAUCUGUCUAGUUAGGUAAGUGAAUGAAGCAUUUUGAGGACUACUGAUCUUGGAAGCAAAUUAGAAAAUCAGCUUUGGAUAACUGUAAACAGCACAGCAUUCUGGAAGCUAGAAAUGAGACUACCGGACAAGAAAGAGAAUGUGAUGUUUGUGACCUUAAAAGAGGAAUAAGGGGGAAGUGUGUCUAGAUUUUCAACUUCUAUGUAAAUUUGGAAUACUUAAAAUGUAUAGUUUUUCAAUUCUACAUUGUAAUGUUACUUUGUGACAAAUAUCUCUAUAAAGUUAAAAUUUUUCAGUGAGUAGCACAUAAGUUGUGUUUUAUAAUAGCUCAUUUUAAUGUCCUGUCAUGUCCAGUUAGAGAUAAAGAGGCUAUAAGUCCUGCAACACCCCCUAUUAAAACAUCCUUUUUCCUCCUUAUUCACAUUAAUAAGUUUUUUCUAAGUUAUAUUCACAGUUAUAUUUUUUCUAAGUUCAUUUAGCAAUGGUGCUGUAUUUAUGUAUAGUGAUUGUAAACAUCUGAACAUAGGUAAAUGCACUGAUACAACAGUAAAAACUAAUGAUUUGGGGGAGUUAGAUGAGCGUGAUUUUUCAAAAAGCAUGGCUUGGGGCAGGGGAAAUGUAGUAUGGUGCAUGGCCAAAUGAGCUUGUUGUCGGUGAGAGGAUUAUGGAUGGAAUGAAUAGGGUUUACAAUUUUUCAGUAAGAUGCCAACUUUUAGGGCAAAGGACUAAGUCCUUGUUAUUUUAAUUAAAUACCCAAAUAGAGAGCAACCACUGUGAGAAGAACCCACUAGUACAGAGUGAAAAGCUCAGAUUUAGCAGCAUCAUAGCAAGUAGAAUAUGACCAUACUGAUUGGCGUCAGGUUUCUGAGGUGUUAGGAGAGGUCACAGUCUGUGAAGUGAUGUGUUGAGUGUCAGCAUGGGGGGCGGGGGCUCUCAGUGUGCUUUUCCAGCUGUCAAGGCCCUCCCACUCCAAGGCAUCACUUCUGCUGCUGCUUCUCAGCGCCACUCAUUUGCAGGAACUCACUGGGACCCUAGAGCUCAUACGCUUGCUCAGAAAUAAAAAUCAUUACUCAGGUAGAAUCAGAAUGGAGUGUAAAAAGGGGCCAAGACAGUGGCCUGGAGAUGUAGUGAUUAUGGUGAAAGGGAAGCCAGGUGGAAGGUGACAGGAACAGUCUUCUUGAUGAAAACACUCAGUCAACCUACAGGAGAAGAAUUUUUCAUUCUUGUGAAUCCCUUAUUGCCUACUCUCCCAGAGCCCGUGACACCCUAUGUCUACGGAUAAGGACCCAUCUGUGCCCCCAGUCUCAGGUCCUGACACGGCUAUCUGCUGCUCUGCACGGUCUGAAAUCCUUUGCCCUGAACUGCUCAAUACCUUAAAAUCAGGCAAUUUUAAGAUUUUUGUAGGCACCAGAUUCCACCCCACAGAAGACCAAGUAUAUUAAAAUUAGCUCCAUUUCACAUUAAAUACAGUUUUUCUAUUUAAAAAAUACAAAUUUGAACACCAUUUUGUAAUUGGUUUUAAGAAAUGGGCUCUUCUUUGGUCAUUUACAAUCGGCUAUGGUUUCCCAUCAGUCAUCAGAUAUUCUUUGGAAUUCCUUUGAAGUGAGAAAGACUAUAAGUUAUUUUUUAAAUUAAUAUUUUUAUGAAUAUGAAAGGAAAUAUAUUUUAUAGUGAUUUAAAUAUUUCAGUUUUGCAGUUUUUAUAUUUUAGAGCUAGCGUAUUUUUUUAAUUGGUCUCAAACCUUUUCUGGGACCAUUGAAAAGUUCAUAGAUCCUCAUGUUUAAAAUGAUCUGCUUGUAAUUUUAUUUUAAGUUUUAUUUAAACACAUGCUAGUCUUAGAAAUAUUAUCACUUAUCAAAUGUCAUUUGCUCAGGGAAGCCUCGAGUAUAUUAGGUUUGUUGUAUAUUACAUGUUAUAUAUAUGUAUGUUUUAUGCUGUCCUAGCAAACAAUUCUACAGUUAUAAAUUAUUUCUGUUACUAUUCAUCUACUGUCUUUCUCCUCUGCCAGCCUAUUGCUUUCAUAAGGGCAAGACUGUGUCUGCUUGCACUCUAAUCUCUGGCAUGCCAUCUGACCAAAUGUCAUAAAUAUUUCUGAAAUGAAUGGAUGUUCUGUUUCCUGAAGAGCACCUCUUCACUGACAGCCUGAUUACUGAAAACUAAAAAGCAUUCUUCAAAUAUAUCCUCCUCCUCCAACUUUUAUUAAGGCUAUCCAUGCCUGUGGCCAUAGCAGCGUGGUCUUCUGUAGACAUGCUUUCUUCUUGGCGCUUGGCAUCUUGUCCGUGGCUCAUCUGCAGACCCUGUCAGCUACCUAAUGUACUUGGCAAUGUCAUGAAGAAUCUUUUUAUUAACCACAUAGAAAUAUAUUUAAAUGUUUGUGGAUAUUAAAUUCAAAUUUUAAAGAUGCCCUGUGUUUUUUCUGGAGUUUCCCUAGACAUAAUCUUGUUCACCACACUAAAAAAGAAUUUUCAAACUUAAAAUAAGACUUAAAAUUAAUGGCUUCAAUUUAUUGAGCAUCUAAUGAGGUGUCAGGAACUGUGCUAAAUACAUUCCCACAUUAUUCCACUAAUCCUUGUUAUUUAAUUUGUUAUCAUCGCCAUUUCACAUACCAGUAAACUGAGCUUUGAAGUAGCUGUUCAGUGUUCACAGAACCACAUAGUAGGGCCAGGAUCUGAACUCAGUCCUGGUUAUAAAACUUAGUCGUCUCCAUUUUGCUAGGCUACUCAUACGUUUCUGAGCAUUGCUGUUACCCAUCUUCAGUGUAUAAAGCCUUUAAUUCUUGUGAGUGGGAUUGUGUUGGACAGUAUGUUGGAGUGGAGAGGCUUAAGCAAAUAAGGUUUUGCUUUUCUCUGUAACACAACCAGAGGUCUGCAGUCCUGGGCUAGUGCAGCAGCUCCAGGUCCUCCAAAGGUGUCUCAGACUCCUUCUGUCUGUGGAUCCCGCCAUCCCUGGGGCAUGGCCUCCACCCUCAAGGCUAUCUCAUGGCUACCCCUUCAGGGUCCACACACUGUCCAAUAUUGGGUAUUAUCAAUCAUUUAAAAAUUCUAAAUGAGAAAAAGACAUCUUUUUUGUUUGUUUUGCAGUUUUUUAAUUAGCUCAAAUCUUCUUAUGUUCAUUGAUUGAUUCAUGUUUCUUUUUUAAUAAACUAUUUGUGUCAUU